Molecule: small nuclear RNA, 116 nt
Filed under: Pan troglodytes (chimpanzee)
Lineage: Eukaryota; Metazoa; Chordata; Mammalia; Primates; Hominidae
Source: RNAcentral
GUGCCCACUUUGGCAGCACGUAUAUAAAAUGGGAACAAUAGAGAGAAGAUUAGCAUGGCCCCUGCACCAGGAUGACUUGCAAAUUCAUGAAUUCUCUCUCUCUCUCUCUCUCUGUC